AGUGAACGCUGGCGGUAGGCCUAACACAUGCAAGUCGAACGGCAGCACAGGAGAGCUUGCUCUCUGGGUGGCGAGUGGCGGACGGGUGAGGAAUACAUCGGAAUCUACUCUGUCGUGGGGGAUAACGUAGGGAAACUUACGCUAAUACCGCAUACGACCUACGGGUGAAAGCAGGGGAUCUUCUGACCUUGCGCGAUUGAAUGAGCCGAUGUCGGAUUAGCUAGUUGGCGGGGUAAAGGCCCACCAAGGCGACGAUCCGUAGCUGGUCUGAGAGGAUGAUCAGCCACACUGGAACUGAGACACGGUCCAGACUCCUACGGGAGGCAGCAGAGGGGAAUAUUGGACAAUGGGCGCAAGCCUGAUCCAGCCAUACCGCGUGGGUGAAGAAGGCCUUCGGGUUGUAAAGCCCUUUUGUUGGGAAAGAAAUCCAGCUGGCUAAUACCCGGUUGGGAUGACGGUACCCAAAGAAUAAGCACCGGCUAACUUCGUGCCAGCAGCCGCGGUAA
RNAcentral lists this ribosomal RNA (506 nucleotides) under uncultured bacterium. RNAcentral describes it as "partial 16S ribosomal RNA". It matches the Rfam family "Bacterial small subunit ribosomal RNA", at positions 29 to 523 of the family's 1533-position model. The record is from RNAcentral.